GGAUAGCUCAGUUGGUUAGAGCGUGGUGCUGAGAACGCCAAGGCUGCAGGUUCGAUCCCUGAAUGGGGACA
This 71-nucleotide transfer RNA is filed under the name Podarcis lilfordi (Lilford's wall lizard). Its description in RNAcentral is "tRNA.Leu". The stretch from base 4 to 62 matches the Rfam family "tRNA", at positions 8 to 63 of the family's 71-position model. Rfam says of the family: Transfer RNA (tRNA) molecules are approximately 80 nucleotides in length. Lineage: Eukaryota; Metazoa; Chordata; Lepidosauria; Squamata; Lacertidae. The record is from RNAcentral.